UAGAAUCAAAACAAAAUGAGAACUGCUC
This 28-nucleotide small RNA is filed under the name Bombyx mori (domestic silkworm). RNAcentral's name for it is "piRNA piR-bmo-1417325". Lineage: Eukaryota; Metazoa; Arthropoda; Insecta; Lepidoptera; Bombycidae. The record is from RNAcentral.